AUGUUCUUCAUGAUGGCGUCGUGGAUUCGGUGUGAUUGACGGCGGUUCGUGGAUUCGGAUCGUGAGCUUCGUGGAUUCGGAGUGGAGGCGUUUCGUGGAUUCGGAAUGUGGCAUUCGUGGAUUCGAACGUGAGGGCAUGGACAACCCGGAGGAUUGCGCGAGAUUCAUAGGAGGUUAAGAGAGGUUGAGUCCGUGGAGUCGGUAAUCACCUUGUAAUAUUUUCUUUUAGUGAAUUAUUUUUUCGCGUGUUGGUCCCGUGGGUUUUUCU
Molecule: long non-coding RNA, 268 nt
Filed under: Ananas comosus (pineapple)
Lineage: Eukaryota; Viridiplantae; Streptophyta; Magnoliopsida; Poales; Bromeliaceae
Description: long non-coding RNA (ACOM_LNC036552)
Source: RNAcentral